RNAcentral lists this ribosomal RNA (484 nucleotides) under uncultured bacterium. Its description in RNAcentral is "partial 16S ribosomal RNA". It matches the Rfam family "Bacterial small subunit ribosomal RNA", at positions 30 to 507 of the family's 1533-position model. The record is from RNAcentral.
AUUGAACGCUGGCGGCAGGCCUAACACAUGCAAGUCGAGCGGAUGAAGGGAGCUCGCUCUUGGAUUCAGCGGCGGACGGGCGAGUAAUGCCUAGGAAUCUGCCUGGUAGUGGGGGAUAACGUCCGGAAACGGGCGCUAAUACCGCAUACGUCCUGAGGGAGAAAGUGGGGGAUCUUCGGACCUCACGCUAUCAGAUGAGCCUAGGUCGGAUUAGCUAGUUGGUGGGGUAAGGGCCUACCAAGGCGACGAUCCGUAACUGGUCUGAGAGGAUGAUCAGUCACACUGGAACUGAGACACGGUCCAGACUCCUACGGGAGGCAGCAGUGGGGAAUAUUGGACAAUGGGCGAAAGCCUGAUCCAGCCAUGCCGCGUGUGUGAAGAAGGUCUUCGGAUUGUAAAGCACUUUAAGUUGGGAGGAAGGGCAGUAAGUUAAUACCUUGCUGUUUUGACGUUACCAACAGAAUAAGCACCGGCUAACUUCGUG